This 450-nucleotide ribosomal RNA is filed under the name uncultured Glomeromycotina. RNAcentral describes it as "SSU rRNA". It matches the Rfam family "Eukaryotic small subunit ribosomal RNA", at positions 569 to 1025 of the family's 1831-position model. The record is from RNAcentral. Lineage: Eukaryota; Fungi; Glomeromycota.
AGCAGCCGCGGUAAUUCCAGCUCCAAUAGCGUAUAUUAAAGUUGUUGCAGUUAAAAGGCUCGUAGUUGAAUUUCGGGGUUAGUAGGUCGGUCGUGCCACAGGUAUGUACUGGUCUCACUGAUUCCUCCUUCCUGAUGAACCGUAAUGCCAUUAAUUUGGUGUUGCGGGGAAACUGGACUGUUACUUUGAAAAAUUAGAGUGUUUAAAGCAGGCUAACGCUUGAAUACAUUAGCAUGGAAUAAUGAAAUAGGACGUUCGAUCCUAUUUUGUUGGUUUCUAGGAUUGACGUAAUGAUUAAUAGGGAUAGUUGGGGGCAUUAGUAUUCAAUUGUCAGAGGUGAAAUUCUUGGAUUUAUUGAAGACUAACUACUGCGAAAGCAUUUGCCAAGGAUGUUUUCAUUAAUCAAGAACGAAAGUUAGGGAUCGAAGACGAUCAGAUACCGUCGUAGUC